UUCCGGUUGAUCCUGCCGGAGGACAUUGCUAUUGGGAUUCGAUUUAGCCAUGCUAGUCGUGCGAGUUCAGACUCGCGGCGAAUAGCUCAGUAACACGUGGCCAAGCUCCCCUUCAGUCAGCGAUACCCUCGGGAAACUGAGGUUAACAGCUGAUACAAAACGCCAGCUGGAAUGCGGCGUUUCAGAAAGACAUCGCUGAAGGAUGCGGCUGCGGCCGAUUAGGUUGACGGUGGGGUAACGGCCCACCGUGCCAGUAAUCGGUACGGGUGAUGAGAGUCAGAGCCCGGAGACGGAAUCUGAGACAAGAUUCCGGGCCCUACGGGGCGCAGCAGGCGCGAAACCUUUACACUGCGCGGAAGUGCGAUAGGGGAAUCCCAAGUGCGAGGGCAUAUUAGCCCUCGCUUUUCUCGACUGUAAGGUGGUCGACGAAUAAGAGCUGGGCAAGACCGGUGCCAGCCGCCGCGGUAAUACCGGCAGCUCAAGUGAUGUCCCAUAUUAUUGGGCCUAAAGCGUCCGUAGCUGGCCGACCAAGUCUCCCGGGAAAUCCACCCGCCCAACGGGUGGGCGUCCGGUAGAAACUGGCCGGCUUGGAACCGGAAGGCUCAGAGAGUACGUCCGGGGUAGGAGUGAAAUCCCGUAAUCCCGGACGGACUACCGAUGGCGAAAGCACUCUGAGAAGACGGCUUCGACAGUGAGGGACGAAAGCUCGGGUCUCAAA
Molecule: ribosomal RNA, 718 nt
Filed under: uncultured archaeon
Lineage: Archaea
Description: bacterial SSU rRNA
Rfam family: Archaeal small subunit ribosomal RNA
Source: RNAcentral